Molecule: ribosomal RNA, 920 nt
Filed under: Micropholcus fauroti
Lineage: Eukaryota; Metazoa; Arthropoda; Arachnida; Araneae; Pholcidae
Description: eukaryotic LSU rRNA
Rfam family: Eukaryotic large subunit ribosomal RNA
Source: RNAcentral
AGCCUCCCCCCGCGGACGACGGMGACAAGUYUCCCUGACAGGAGCUCUUGCCCAGAGAGGGUGCGAGGCCCAUAGKCSCCGWGACGUCGCUCGGGUGGCGAACUCCCCARAGUCGGGUKGCUKGGGAGUGCAGCCCAAAGAGGGUGGUAAACUCCACCUAAGGCUAAAUACGGCCGCGAGACCGAUAGSGAACAAGUACCGKGAGGGAAAGUUGCAAAGAACUUUGAAGAGAGAGUUCAAGAGUACGUGAAACUGCUCAGGGGCAAACGGGUGGGCCCUCGAAGUCCCCGGGAGAGGGAUUCAGCCUCUUUACGGUACGACGCCGCAACCGACGGACUCCUCGAGGAGCCGCGGCGGCGGAGAGUCGGACUGUGAAGGGACGCACUUUCCUCUCCCAUCGAGGACGCCGCAGCCGGUGGGACGUCGGCGGUGAGGAACCUACGCGGAGGUGGCGUGGACCGCGGCCGAAGAGCCGAGAGUCCCGUGUCUGCCGCGCCGGGGAAUCCGCGCGCGAUGUCCGACCGAGGGUAAUUAGAAAUAAUGUGGCCGCCGCCUANCAAGCGGGACCCCGAGUCAGGGAAGGCGAGCGUCGGCGAGUCACCGAGCGGUGUCCGUCKWYGYCUCGCUGCCCGGUGGGCCGGGUCGACCCGCGGCGCGCGAGUCACGGCUUGCGGCGAGUAGGUCGGUAACCCACCCGACCCGUCUUGAAACACGGACCAAGGAGUCUAACAUGUGCGCGAGUCAGUGGGACUCGAACAAGCCCACGGGCAGAACGAAAGUGAGAACCGUCGGGAUCUAUCUUCGCAAGGAGAUGGCGCACCGACAGCCUGGCGCGACCCACUACGUGGAAUGGGCCGGAGCCGGAGCGCACACGUUGGGACCCGAAAGAUGGUGAACUAUGCCCGGGCAGGUCGAAGCUA